Long non-coding RNA from Schistocerca gregaria, 389 nucleotides. RefSeq lists it as uncharacterized. The transcript has 2 exons. The record is from RefSeq and is a predicted model, not a curated record. Lineage: Eukaryota; Metazoa; Arthropoda; Insecta; Orthoptera; Acrididae.
CUAAAAUAUUUAUAAAAUCAAAAUAAAAAAUAAUGAACUAAAACGUAAUCUUAAAGAUAGCUGGUUUAAAGCUUACUAUUAUAUUUCUAUAAAAUAAAUUAUAGGUUAUUAACUUCAAAGCUUAUCCCUUAAACAAUAAAUAAGUUAAUAUUUUUACUUAAAAAAUUAAAUAAAAACAAAUAACUUUAAAAAAUUAAAUUUUUUCUUAAGAAACUAGAUAUCUUGGGAAACGAUUAACAUCUCAUUUCUAUAAAUAAUUUAAUAAUAAUUAUGAUACAUUAACUAUAAAUUAUUUAUAAAUCAACCCAAAUCGAGACAAGUAAAAUAAAUACUAAAAUUUUUAUAAACCCUGAUACAAAAGGUACAAUAAAUAAAAUCUACUUAAAAAA